RNAcentral lists this ribosomal RNA (1257 nucleotides) under Triticum aestivum (bread wheat). Its description in RNAcentral is "partial small subunit ribosomal RNA". The record is from RNAcentral. Lineage: Eukaryota; Viridiplantae; Streptophyta; Magnoliopsida; Poales; Poaceae.
AUGGACGCGUCAACGUCGUCCACCGCCAUGCUGCUGGAGGCGUCAACGUCGUCCACGGCCAUGCUGCUGGAGGCGUCAACGUCGUCGCAGCAGCAGCCCGGCGAGGCGCCGCUGUACCCGUACCUGGACGUCCCCGGCGUCCGGUUCGUCCCCACCGACCAGGAGCUCAUCCUCUGCUACCUCCGGAGCAAGCUGCGCGGCGAUCCGCCCCCGACCUCGCUCGUGCGCGACGACGACGUGUACGCGGAGCACCCCGAGUAUCUUACGACGAGGCUGGGCCCGAGCGUGGAGGACUACUGGUACGUGUUCACGCAGAGGAGCCGCAAGUACGCCAAGGGGGGGCGGCCGAGCCGGAGCACGGGCGACACGGGCCGCUGGAAGUCGGUGGGCAAGAACACGCCUGUCACCUACGGGAAGGAGAAGGCGACGAUCGGGUUCAGGAACUCGCUGGCGUACGAGGUGUUCGUCCGCGACGAUGGCGGCGACUCCAAGAAGAAGCGGAUAGAGAAGACGGAGUGGAAGAUGACCGAGUUCGUGGACGUCGACUCCAACAGGCCCGUCUCGUCCGGCUCCAACUUCAUGCUGCUCAACGACUGGGUGCUGUGCAGGAUAACGCGCAAGCCGGAGAAGAAGAAGGGGGAGGAGGAGGAUCCCGGCGCUUCUCCGGCGGACGAGGUGGUGGAGGAGGAGGAGCACGAGCCGUCAUCGAUGAUGCUCGCCGACGAGCCGCUGACGGACACCAGCCCCGACACGUCGCAGCAAGCGCAGGUGACGGCGCCUGCCGGCCUCUUAGGCAACGGCGCCAACUGGUCGGACAGCACCGCCGACAGCCAGGCCGGACGAUCCGGCUCCGGCUCCGACCCCCAAAAGACUGCCGACGACGACCCGUUCGAGUCUCUUGAUCUGGGGCCCUUGCCGAGUGGGAACAGUCGUGACCAUGUCUUCACGAUUGAUCCAUGGGCCUGGAACCUGUAUUAUCCAGAGGGCACCGAUAUUGAUUCGUCCGGCAGCCGGCUCCGAACGCCCAGCGACCCUGAUCCGAUGGAGAUCCCGUCGGAACCACCUGCUUAUCAUCCUCAGCCUCGGCACGUCGUCACUGAUCUUCCCUCCUCCUCCUCCGGCGGUCUUGAUGAACUCACCAAGGUGAUUCGCAAGAGAAAAGAACACGCCAGGGCGAGCGGCGACGACGCCGGGAAGAAGGGCAACGCGGCAGUGAAGAAGAGCUCCGGGCGUGCAAAGCCAGACGGCCAAAACUAA